UUAAGAGAAUCGGAGACGGUUUGUGUCUCUGUGUUCAGAAGAACUGCGAGGUAUAACAAAAUCAACGGCCGAGAUAUCGUUUCAGUCGUCAUAUUGUAUUGGCGAUUCGAUUGUUGCUCGUCCACAU
Corylus avellana is the source of this 127-nucleotide small nucleolar RNA. RefSeq annotates it as small nucleolar RNA snoR111. Lineage: Eukaryota; Viridiplantae; Streptophyta; Magnoliopsida; Fagales; Betulaceae. The record is from RefSeq and is a predicted model, not a curated record.